Long non-coding RNA from Meriones unguiculatus (Mongolian gerbil), 2728 nucleotides. RefSeq lists it as uncharacterized. The record is from RefSeq and is a predicted model, not a curated record. The transcript is spliced from 5 exons. NCBI's taxonomy places the organism in Eukaryota, Metazoa, Chordata, Mammalia, Rodentia, Muridae.
CUCGCGGCCUGCGCACCCUGGAGACCGCAGCGCGUCCGCGCCGGGCUCGGGGCGACGCCGCCCGCCUCUCGCGGCUUUUGGGGGGCGCGGCGCCGGUGCCGACCGCUCGCAGAGCCUGGCGCCGCGCGCAGGCGCGCCGUCCGCGCCGCCGGAAGUGACGGUUCCGGCCCGUGUCACGUGGAGGAGGACCGGGGUAUUCCUGGAGGAUCACCAGUUGUAACAGAUGUUAUGGACAGGGAAAUUGGGGCACAUGGAAAAUAUUGCAGAUGCAGCUUCAGAAUAGCUUCAAAUCAGCAUUCUUGAUAAACACUGCAACCGGAGCUGAACUCCUGCCAUUAAAAUUCUGAGACAUCAUCGCCAUGCACAGUCCAAGCUUACCUCAAACUCACAAUCCUUCUACAUUUCCUGCCACAUCUACAGCUCCUGCCACAUUUCCUUCAUUUGCCAUGGGAACAUUUUCACAGUUUUUUUUUUUUUGAGUUCUCAGUGAAUUUAGAAAUAUAUUUUCAUGUAAAACAUAUGUGAAAAUAUAUUAGGUAACCAGGACACUGAAGAUAAUUGCUUUUGAUGAUUGAAGCCCCAGGUCAGAAUCUCUAAUUAUCAAGAUGUAGAACUCUCAGCUCUCUCUCCAGCACCAUGUCUGCCUUCAGCUGCCAUGCUUAUCACCAUGAUGAUAGUGCACUAAGCCUCUGAACUUGGAAAGAAUCAGUGUUGAAAAACUUUUACUCAAGCUUGGACCCCUUGGCUCUGAGACUCUAAUUUUAUGAAAUCUAAAUCCACAUCGGAUAUUUUUAGUAGGUAUUUCACAACCAAAUUGAGACGUGCUAUGCGUAUAAAGGAUGCAGCGAAAAUGUCUUAAAAGAGUUCAGGAUGGGACGAGCUGGUGAUGCGGCUCAUCAAUGAAGAGAAUUCACAGUCUUGCGGAGGACCUGCGUUCAGUUUCCAGUGCCCACGCUGGGUGGCACACAACUGCCUAUGAAUUCCAGCCCCAGGGGGAUCUGGUGCCCUCUCCUGGCCUCUGCGAGCACCUGCACACACAUGCCGUAUGCUCACACAAGCACACACACAUACAGGUAUAUAAAAAUAAUGAAAAUGAUUUAUUUUAUUGAAAGAAAGCCAGGUAAGAAUGUGUAAUACAUGCAUUGCACGUCCUUGUGUACAUGGCUGUGGUCAGGAAAGAGGAUGAAUGUGUUAGAGGAGAAUGAGAGUAAGUUGUUGGGCCGAGUCUAACCAGAUGCAGCUAAGCUCUGUCACUUAAAUAGAAACUGUUAGCCAACUGUUUUACCAAACUGUUGGUUUCCCCUUAUGUAAAUUGGAGAUACGGAUACUGUGGGAUGCCCUGCCAAGAUUGAUUGGGUCCUGUUUACCCUUUUUGCUCUCCUAUGUUAUCGGCUUUGCUGUCCCCUACCUGUUGCUCCCUGUGGGUCAGCCUUGAUGCAGCUGCUGCUGCAUGAGGGCAGAGAGAGUGAUUACAGUGCACAGGAUGAGAGCCCAGGAAAAUGGUAGAAAGCUUUAAUGUAUAAUUCACACCCAGGACACCCCUGGGACAUCCAGCUCGAGCAGAAACUUCAUCUGGAAACCAGCUCCCCUGCAUCUGCUUUUCCACUUCUUCCCUUUGAGUCUAAGACUCAGCGUCUGACGACUGGUGGGAAAUAACUGCCUCCGCCAAGUUUUCAGAGAUUCAGUGAAAAGUGCCUGCGACUGGCAUCUCCUCACCUGCUCUUACCUACGUGCCGUCCAAUGGGGUUGCACUGCACCACCAGGGAGACGAGAGUUGCCAAUUAUUUUCUAUUCUUGGACAGUGCAUUUAUGCUAAGACAUAAAUAUGCCAAAUCCACCCCCGCCCCCCGCAUCUCUUCUUUCUCUCGCACCUUUUCAUCACCUUAGAAGUAAGAAUGCAGGAAGAGCUUGUUGGUGAGUUUGUAGGACAUUAGGCGACAGUGAAGGUGCUGAUGAGCAGCUGCUGGUGCCUGUUUCUGGGAACUCUUUCUGAGCAUGGUGUUUGGCAGACGACAGGGAUCAUUAAAUGCAUUGAUGGUACCACUUCGAAGGAGUGUUAAUGGCUUCACAGCUAAACAGGACUUUCAGUUAAAGCUUAGUUCGUUGACUCAAAUAGGGAACCCAAGUGCACACACACGUCUUCUCACUGUAUAAGGAAUAUAAAUGCAAAUGCACUGUAUAAAGAAUAUAUUUUUUAUACGUUCAGUUAAUUCUUUGGUUUUUGUGUGUGUGUGUUUUGUAAAUUUUGUUUGUUUGUUUUUAAAAUGCAAUUUGGCUAUAUAAUUCAGACUAACCUCAAACUCUGAUCCUCCUGCCUUAGCCUUUGGAGAGUUGUAUCUUUAUAGGUAUCUGCUUCCAUUCCAGGAAUUCACUCAUUUUCCUUCAUUUAAAUCAUAUUUAUUUUUAACCGCUGCAUAAAAACGAACAUUUUACAUAUCAAUGGCAUAAAAUGUGACAUUUUCAUAUGGUUGUACAUUGUGUAAUAUAAAUCAGGUUAAAUACUUUUCUUCAGCGUUAAUCAUUUCUUGUGGAACUUUCAUUGCUUUCCUGAAACACUAUCAGGUUAAUUAACACAGGCUGGUCUUGAACUCACAAGUCUCCUGGCUCAGCUUCCUCUUGCUGGGGUGACAGCAUUGUGCCACCACAUAGAACAUUGAGAUUUUUGAAAUGUACUGCUUUGGACAAAUUUUGAUUAAUACUAAUUAUUACUAUUUCUGAAAUUGUUAUA